RNAcentral lists this ribosomal RNA (490 nucleotides) under Lacticaseibacillus paracasei. Its description in RNAcentral is "bacterial SSU rRNA". It matches the Rfam family "Bacterial small subunit ribosomal RNA", at positions 385 to 868 of the family's 1533-position model. Lineage: Bacteria; Bacillati; Bacillota; Bacilli; Lactobacillales; Lactobacillaceae. The record is from RNAcentral.
GAUGGAGCACGCCGCGUGAGUGAAGAAGGCUUUCGGGUCGUAAAACUCUGUUGUUGGAGAAGAAUGGUCGGCAGAGUAACUGUUGUCGGCGUGACGGUAUCCAACCAGAAAGCCACGGCUAACUACGUGCCAGCAGCCGCGGUAAUACGUAGGUGGCAAGCGUUAUCCGGAUUUAUUGGGCGUAAAGCGAGCGCAGGCGGUUUUUUAAGUCUGAUGUGAAAGCCCUCGGCUUAACCGAGGAAGCGCAUCGGAAACUGGGAAACUUGAGUGCAGAAGAGGACAGUGGAACUCCAUGUGUAGCGGUGAAAUGCGUAGAUAUAUGGAAGAACACCAGUGGCGAAGGCGGCUGUCUGGUCUGUAACUGGACGCUGAGGCUCGAAAGCAUGGGUAGCGAACAGGAUUAGAUACCCUGGUAGUCCAUGCCGUAACGAUGAAUGCUAGGUGUUGGAGGGUUUCCGCCCUUCAGUGCCGCAGCUACGCAUUAAGCAUU